Small nucleolar RNA from Suncus etruscus (white-toothed pygmy shrew), 88 nucleotides. RefSeq annotates it as small nucleolar SNORD12/SNORD106. The record is from RefSeq and is a predicted model, not a curated record. Lineage: Eukaryota; Metazoa; Chordata; Mammalia; Eulipotyphla; Soricidae. The transcript has a single exon.
GCUGGCAUAUAUGAUGACUAUUUUUUCCCCGGCAGAUCGACCGUGUUGAUCUCGUAUUUCUUAGCCAGUUUUAGUCUGAUAUGCCAGC